CCUACGGGAGGCAGCAGUAGGGAAUCUUCCACAAUGGGCGAAAGCCUGAUGGAGCAACGCCGCGUGGGUGAAGAAGGUCUUCGGAUCGUAAAACCCUGUUGUUAGAGAAGAAAGUGAGUGAGAGUAACUGUUCACGUUUCGACGGUAUCUAACCAGAAAGCCACGGCUGACUACGUGCCAGCAGCCGCGGUAAUACGUAGGUGGCAAGCGUUAUCCGGAUUUAUUUGGCGUAAAGGGAACGCAGGCGGUCUUUUAAGUCGGAUGUGAAAGCCUUCGGCUUAACCGGAGUAGUGCAUUGGAAACUGGGAGACUUGAGUGCAGAAGAGGAGAGUGGAACUCCAUGUGUAGCGGUGAAAUGCGUAGAUAUAUGGAAGAACACCAGUGGCGAAAGCGGCUCUCUGGUCUGUAACUGACGCUGAGGUUCGAAAGCGUGGGUAGCAAACAGGAUUAGAUACCCCUGUAGUC
RNAcentral lists this ribosomal RNA (465 nucleotides) under uncultured bacterium. Its description in RNAcentral is "partial 16S ribosomal RNA". It matches the Rfam family "Bacterial small subunit ribosomal RNA", at positions 338 to 795 of the family's 1533-position model. The record is from RNAcentral.